UUACAGUCAUAUCACAUUGAAAUAUCGGUUCACGUACGAUCACCAAAGUUAAGCAACGAUGGGGCUGGUCAGUACCUAGGUGGGUGAACGCUUGGGAAACCAGGUGGUGUA
This is a non-coding RNA of Acanthosepion pharaonis, 111 nucleotides long. NCBI's taxonomy places the organism in Eukaryota, Metazoa, Mollusca, Cephalopoda, Sepiida, Sepiidae. The record is from the annotation of a GenBank genome assembly.